RNAcentral lists this ribosomal RNA (440 nucleotides) under uncultured bacterium. Its description in RNAcentral is "partial 16S ribosomal RNA". It matches the Rfam family "Bacterial small subunit ribosomal RNA", at positions 338 to 795 of the family's 1533-position model. The record is from RNAcentral.
CCUACGGGCGGCUUCAGUGGGGAAUAUUGCACAAUGGGGGAAACCCUGAUGCAGCGACGCCGCGUGAGUGAAGAAGUAUUUCGGUAUGUAAAGCUCUAUCAGCAGGGAAGAAAAUGACGGUACCUGUUUAAGAAGCCCCGGCUAACUACGUGCCAGCAGCCGCGGUAAUACGUAGGGGGCAAGCGUUAUCCGGAUUUACUGGGUGUAAAGGGAGCGUAGACGGCAGCACAAGUCUGGAGUGAAAUGCCGGGGCUUAACCCCGGAACUGCUUUGGAAACUGUGUAGCUAGAGUGCAGGAGAGGUAAGUGGAAUUCCUAGUGUAGCGGUGAAAUGCGUAGAUAUUAGGAGGAACACCAGUGGCGAAGGCGGCUUACUGGACUGUAACUGACGUUGAGGCUCGAAAGCGUGGGGAGCAAACAGGAUUAGAUACCCCAGUAGUC